GGGGACGACCUGGCUUCGACGGGGUCGGUUCAUCGGUGUGGUUGCGAGCCGAGGUUGCUGGAUGGCCUCGUAAAACUCCAGCAAAAACCAUAAGUGCGGACUCUCACGAGUACGCCCUUCCGUCUGCUGCACUCGCAGUCUAGAUAGGAAAGGUUCUGCCCCUCGGCCAGCCGGCCGUCGGGGACGCGGAAUCAUCUUUCGCCGGCUUACCGACCGCCCCGCCUCCGUGCGGUCGGGACACACUUAGGGGGCUGGCUCCCCUCGACCCGGUCAGCGAGGUGACGGGGGAGUGAGACUCUGACCGCUGACUACGCUCGUAGACGCCCCAUUGGUGCGAUCUCGGACGGGGGUUCGAUUCCCCCCGUCUCCACUG
This 373-nucleotide transfer-messenger RNA is filed under the name Patulibacter sp. It matches the Rfam family "transfer-messenger RNA". From Rfam's summary of the family: Bacterial tmRNA, also known as 10Sa RNA or SsrA, is named for its dual tRNA and mRNA-like properties. Its role is to liberate the mRNA from a stalled ribosome. To accomplish this part of the tmRNA is used as a reading frame that ends in a translation stop signal. RNAcentral also lists the same sequence under 1 other name. Lineage: Bacteria; Bacillati; Actinomycetota; Thermoleophilia; Solirubrobacterales; Patulibacteraceae. The record is from RNAcentral.